This 971-nucleotide long non-coding RNA is filed under the name Lactuca sativa (garden lettuce). RNAcentral describes it as "long non-coding RNA (LSAT_LNC003409)". Lineage: Eukaryota; Viridiplantae; Streptophyta; Magnoliopsida; Asterales; Asteraceae. The record is from RNAcentral.
AAAUUUACAGGGAACGGGAAAGAAAUCACCUUUCAUUUAAAAUCACAUUUCUCAUCUUCUCGAAUUGCCGUCUCUCUAGAACCUCCUCACUAUCUUCAUCUUCUCCAUUAACGACUCUGGAGAUCAAUGUCAUCAUUACCUUUACUUACAGCUAAUCCGUUCACCAUUACCUUACUUCCAUCAAACCCCCACACCAACAAUAGAGUUUCUCAUGACAUUCUCCCUCUCUCUUUCUUCAACGCCACCUCCAUUCUCAAACACGGGUAGGAUAAAAUUUUUUCAAAUCUUUAUGUGUAGAUCCAUUUGUGUGUGUGUUUUACAGAAAGAGACUAAGGCCACAGGUAGGAUAAAACAUUUAAAAUCUUUAUGUGUGUGUUUUAGGGAUCUAUAUGUAUGUAAACCUAUUUAUAUGUAUAAAUUUGUGUAUUUAUGUUUAAUAUAUUUUCGAUUUUGAUGUUCUAAGAGUUUUAUAUUUCAUAUUUUCAGAUUUGAAUCUGCAAAUUCUACACAAAAAGACAAAAAGUUGGAUCUCUUAUAAUCUGUUGUAGAUAUUUGUAGGUCUUACUUACUCAAUGCAGUGUAGAUAUGUGUUUUAGAUGUGUUUUUUGUUGUAUUUUGUAAGUAUCUAUAUUUUGUUUAAAGAUAAAUGAAUUAAUUAGUUCUAUGUUUUUUAUUAUUAUUAUUUAGAUAUGUAUAAUGGAUUUCAAUGAUUUGGAAUAAGAACUAGGAACUGUAUGUCACAGAUUAAGAUUUGUAUUGCAUAAAUUACGUUUGAUUUUUUACAUCUAGAUUUUUAAUAAUUUUAUAUUUUGAUGCAUGAGUGAAGGACAUAAAAACACAACAAAACUAAUUUCCGGUUUUUGUUUUUCUCUUUAGAUGUAAGGUUUUGAUGGUAAAACCUAAAGGUGCAAAAUUUGUUGUUCCAUGAUUUAGUGUGAUUUGUAUAUUCUAUCUAUUUGUAUUAGUAUUGA